CCUACGGGAGGCAGCAGUAGGGAAUCUUCCACAAUGGGCGAAAGCCUGACGGAGCAACGCCGCGUGGGUGAAGAAGGUCUUCGGAUCGUAAGACCCUGUUGUUAGAGAAGAAAGUGCGUGAGAGUAACUGUUCACGUUUCGACGGUACCUAACCAGAAAGCCACGCCUAACUACGUGCCAGCAGCCGCGGGAAUACGGAGGUGGCAAGCUUUAUCCGGAUUUAUUGGGAGUAAGGGAACGCAGGCGGGAUUUUAAGUCUGAUGUGAAAGGCUUCGGAUUAACCGGAGUAGUGCACUGGAAACUUGGAGACUGGAGUGCAGAAGAGGAGAAGGGAAUUCCAGGUGUAGCGGUGAAAUGCGUAGAUAUAAGGAAGAACAUCAGUGGCGUAAGCGGUUUUCUGGGCCGUAACUGACGCUGAGGUUCGAAAGCGAGGGUAGCAAACAGGAUUAGAUACCCGAGUAGUC
This 464-nucleotide ribosomal RNA is filed under the name uncultured bacterium. RNAcentral describes it as "partial 16S ribosomal RNA". It matches the Rfam family "Bacterial small subunit ribosomal RNA", at positions 338 to 795 of the family's 1533-position model. The record is from RNAcentral.